GGCCAGGUAGCUCAGUUGGUAGAGCAGGGGACUGAAAAUCCCCGUGUCGGGGGUUCGAUUCCCUCCCUGGCCACCA
RNAcentral lists this transfer RNA (76 nucleotides) under Vulcaniibacterium thermophilum. RNAcentral's name for it is "tRNA-Phe". It matches the Rfam family "tRNA". Rfam says of the family: Transfer RNA (tRNA) molecules are approximately 80 nucleotides in length. Their secondary structure includes four short double-helical elements and three loops (D, anti-codon, and T loops). Further hydrogen bonds mediate the characteristic L-shaped molecular structure. tRNAs have two regions of fundamental functional importance: the anti-codon, which is responsible for specific mRNA codon recognition, and the 3' end, to which the tRNAs corresponding amino acid is attached (by aminoacyl-tRNA synthetases). tRNAs cope with the degeneracy of the genetic code in two manners: having more than one tRNA (with a specific anti-codon) for a particular amino acid; and 'wobble' base-pairing, i.e. permitting non-standard base-pairing at the 3rd anti-codon position. RNAcentral also lists the same sequence under 5 other names. Lineage: Bacteria; Pseudomonadati; Pseudomonadota; Gammaproteobacteria; Lysobacterales; Lysobacteraceae. The record is from RNAcentral.